Non-coding RNA from Hydra vulgaris (swiftwater hydra), 360 nucleotides. The record is from RefSeq and is a predicted model, not a curated record. Lineage: Eukaryota; Metazoa; Cnidaria; Hydrozoa; Anthoathecata; Hydridae.
CUUAACAAAUAUGUUUUUCAUACUUAAUGUAUGGAAAGAAACAAAAACGUCCUACAAGGUCGAUAUAGAAUUGCGUUUAGCCAUUUAUCGUUGUAUUCGUUCAUUUCAAAAUCGCUACUGACAAAAGUAUUAAAGAAAAAAUUGGCAGCUUUUUGGCGACGGCCAAUAGUAGAGAUAACGGAAGAAAUAUAGAACUCUAACUGAGCAACGCCUAAAUUUUUGAGCAAUGAAAUAAGUGUCGCCAAAAUAAUAAAAGUCGAUGCCCACUAUCUGGUAGUGAGAGUUUAAUACAGUAGUUUAUAAAUAUAUAUACAUAUUUAAUUGUACCUGUAUUUAAAUAGCAUUGAUUUUAUUUUGUUA